GACCUGUUUCUACUACAGAGCUGUUUCUCCUGACUUCUACUACAGACCUGUUUCUGACUUGUACUUCACGGUUUCUUCUAACUCUACUACAGAGAAGUAUUGAUUGCACUCUAGCCAAUCUCAAAGUAGCAUUCAUUGGAAGAAGAGGUUGCAGGGAAAUGAGGAGGAGGGAUGGGUAUAAUAGAGGUGGGAUAGAGACAAUAGAGGAGAGAAGUGAUGGACAUGGACUCAAUAAUAGUUUAUACACAAACAGCUCCCUCUGCUGGCCACUCUCUCAAACAGAAACCCUUCACAAACACACACGAUUCACAUAUACAGACACGAUUCACACACACACGAUUCACACACACAGGCACCAUCCACACCCACAGACACGAUUCACUCAAUAAUAGUUCAUACACAAACAGCUCCCUCUGCUGGCCACUCUCUCAAACAGAAACCAUUUACACACACAAAUACCAUUCACAAACACACAAUUCACAUACAGUAUAUACACACACACACACGAUUCACACAGACACCAUUCACACACAGUGUUGAAUGCCAAAAGCUGAUCGAGAGACCUCGGUUUAUUGUUUUUGUAAAGCUGACAGUGUUUUUACAUACUUUUAUUUGAUUUUGAAUCCUGCAGCUCUGUUGAGCUUAGUUUCUGUGAGCGCUGCUGUCUGUCCCGGGAUCCCUCCAGAUUCCGUAUAAGGGGAGAGACACGGAAGCCCAGCUAGCCUAGCUGGCUCGGAGGUCUUAAAUGGAGGUCGCUAUUGAACGUUUCCAGCGCUGCAGGAGCUGUGUUUACUUCGCUUUGUUCCAAGACAAUGUGGACCGUGUUGACUUUCAAUGUAGCACUGCUUGCAAACCUACUGGGGAAUCCACGCCCGCCUACGUUUUCUUUUUCAUCCACCCCAGUAGCAGGAUGGCGCUCUGGUCUGGUGGAAGUGUUGCUGCCGUGUCGGCUCUCCGCAGCCGACUGACCAGUGCUCAGCAGGGUUCCAUUCCCGAAGGGGUCUCCCCCUUCCCUGGAGAACGGAGCUGUUCUCGACCCAACCAACCAGCCAUGGAGAUACGUCAUUCGCCGUGGAAGUCGAAGACAGCGUCCUCUGGCAACGUGGGUCUCCUUGGAGAUGUUGAGCCUGGACCUGACACAGACCAGAAACAGCUUUGCCACCCUGGAUCCAGAGGUUCCAGCACCUUCUUCCUUGGGGGCUUCCCAAUCAAGAUCAAAUCCGGAGGUACCUGCGUCUUCGUCCUCGGUUCUGUCUCCCUCUCCGGUGGCUUCUACCUCGUGUUCAGAUCCUCAGAGCUCCCAUCCUCACCAGACCGUAAGGCUACCCAGGAGCACGAGUACAGGACAUCACAAGGCUGCUUCUGACUGUUCUACCACAGAUGCCGGGAGCUGACGCUGUCGUAGUCCAUAUGGGUCAAACGACAUCAGGAGGGCUAGCUCGGAACAUCUGAAAAUGGAUUUUAAAGAACUGACUUAAGCAUUAAAAGACUCCAAAAAACGGCAAUCAUUUCAGGUCCAAUACCAUCGUUGUGCCGCGGGUGUGAAAGAUUCAGCAGACUGCUGGCAUUACACAUCUGGCUAAAAGAUUACUGUAGCUCUGCUGGAGUCACUUUUAUAGAUAACUUUGGAAACAGAAGAUACUCUACAGGAAUGACAGAGUCCAUCCAAAUCAUCUUGGCUUCUGGACUUUGUCCACACUAAGUUUAAACAAUGACUUAUCAAUGACCCAAUACCAGCUCAGCUAAUCCCUAUCAUUG
RNAcentral lists this long non-coding RNA (1758 nucleotides) under Salmo salar (Atlantic salmon). RNAcentral describes it as "lncRNA (ENSSSAG00000096624.1)". Lineage: Eukaryota; Metazoa; Chordata; Actinopteri; Salmoniformes; Salmonidae. The record is from RNAcentral.